GAUGAACGCUGGCGGAAUGCUUUACACAUGCAAGUCGAAACGGCAGCACGGGGGCAACCCUGGUGGCGAGUGGCGAACGGGUGAGUAAUACAUCGGAACGUGCCCAAUCGUGGGGGAUAACGUAGCGAAAGCUACGCUAAUACCGCAUACGAUCUACGGAUGAAAGCGGGGGAUCGCAAGACCUCGCGCGAUUGGAGCGGCCGAUGGCAGAUUAGGUAGUUGGUGAGGUAAAGGCUCACCAAGCCUUCGAUCUGUAGCUGGUCUGAGAGGACGACCAGCCACACUGGGACUGAGACACGGCCCAGACUCCUACGGGAGGCAGCAGUGGGGAAUUUUGGACAAUGGGCGAAAGCCUGAUCCAGCCAUUCCGCGUGCAGGAUGAAGGCCCUCGGGUUGUAAACUGCUUUUGUACGGAACGAAACGCGUCGAGUUAAUACCUUGACGUAAUGACGGUACCGUAAGAAUAAGCACCGGCUAACUACGUGCCAGCAGCCGCGGUAAUCUCG
This 506-nucleotide ribosomal RNA is filed under the name uncultured bacterium. RNAcentral's name for it is "bacterial SSU rRNA". It matches the Rfam family "Bacterial small subunit ribosomal RNA", at positions 28 to 527 of the family's 1533-position model. The record is from RNAcentral.